Long non-coding RNA from Myotis brandtii (Brandt's bat), 245 nucleotides. RefSeq lists it as uncharacterized. The transcript has 3 exons. Lineage: Eukaryota; Metazoa; Chordata; Mammalia; Chiroptera; Vespertilionidae. The record is from RefSeq and is a predicted model, not a curated record.
CAUAAUUUCUGUGAAGACCCUACUUCUAAAUAAGGUCACAUUCUGAGCUACUGAGAGUUAUGACUUCAGUAUAUCCUUUUUUUAGGGGGUGGGCACAGUUCAACCCAUACCAGAUGGUAGGUUAAGGAAAUAUUGUCAUCGUAAGUCCUUUCAGAAACAAGGUGUCUGCUGGGAACCCUGUAUUUAUUUUCAUGGCUGACUGAACUCAUAAUCACAAGCCUCCUGCACACCCCCUACUGGGGAUU